This 400-nucleotide ribosomal RNA is filed under the name uncultured bacterium. RNAcentral describes it as "bacterial SSU rRNA". It matches the Rfam family "Bacterial small subunit ribosomal RNA", at positions 355 to 752 of the family's 1533-position model. The record is from RNAcentral.
UGAGGAAUAUUGGUCAAUGGGCGGAAGCCUGAACCAGCCAUGCCGCGUGCAGGACGACGGCCCUACGGGUUGUAAACUGCUUUUCCGGGGGAAGAAUAACCCCCCUGCGGGGGGGGAUGCCGGUACCCCGGGAAUAAGGAUCGGCUAACUCCGUGCCAGCAGCCGCGGUAAUACGGAGGAUCCUAGCGUUAUCCGGAUUUACUGGGUUUAAAGGGUGCGUAGGCGGACCCCUAAGUCCGCGGUGAAAGUCUGCGGCUCAACCGUAGGAUUGCCGUGGAUACUGGGGGUCUUGGAUUCGGUCGGGGCGGGCGGAAUGCGUGGUGUAGCGGUGAAAUGCAUAGAUAUCACGCAGAACGCCGAUAGCGAAGGCAGCUCGCCGGGCCGACAUCGACGCUGAGGC